RNAcentral lists this non-coding RNA (24 nucleotides) under Cricetulus griseus (Chinese hamster). The record is from RNAcentral. Lineage: Eukaryota; Metazoa; Chordata; Mammalia; Rodentia; Cricetidae.
CGGCGGAAUGGGGACGGCGGCCUU